UACGUAGGCAGCGAGCGUUGUUCGGAGUUACUGGGCGUAAAGAGUGCGUAGGCGGUUUUCUAAGUUUGGUGUGAAAUCUCCCGGCUCAACUGGGAGGGUGCGCCGAAGACUGGAAGGCUAGAGUAUGGGAGAGGUAAGCGGAAUUCCUGAUGUAGCGGUGAAAUGCGUAGAUAUCAGGAGGAACACCUGCGGUGUAGACGGCUUACUGGACCAUCACUGACGCUGAGGCACGAAAGCGUGGGUAGCAAACAGG
Molecule: ribosomal RNA, 253 nt
Filed under: uncultured bacterium
Lineage: Bacteria
Description: partial 16S ribosomal RNA
Rfam family: Bacterial small subunit ribosomal RNA
Source: RNAcentral